CGCUGGCGGCAGGCCUAACACAUGCAAGUCGAGCGGAUGAAAGGAGCUUGCUCCUGGAUUCAGCGGCGGACGGGUGAGUAAUGCCUAGGAAUCUGCCUGGUAGUGGGGGACAACGUUUCGAAAGGAACGCUAAUACCGCAUACGUCCUACGGGAGAAAGCAGGGGACCUUCGGGCCUUGCGCUAUCAGAUGAGCCUAGGUCGGAUUAGCUAGUUGGUGAGGUAAUGGCUCACCAAGGCGACGAUCCGUAACUGGUCUGAGAGGAUGAUCAGUCACACUGGAACUGAGACACGGUCCAGACUCCUACGGGAGGCAGCAGUGGGGAAUAUUGGACAAUGGGCGAAAGCCUGAUCCAGCCAUGCCGCGUGUGUGAAGAAGGUCUUCGGAUUGUAAAGCACUUUAAGUUGGGAGGAAGGGUUGUAGAUUAAUACUCUGCAAUUUUGACGUUACCGACAGAAUAAGCACCGGCU
Molecule: ribosomal RNA, 469 nt
Filed under: uncultured bacterium
Lineage: Bacteria
Description: bacterial SSU rRNA
Rfam family: Bacterial small subunit ribosomal RNA
Source: RNAcentral